This 471-nucleotide ribosomal RNA is filed under the name uncultured Candidatus Saccharibacteria bacterium. RNAcentral describes it as "bacterial SSU rRNA". It matches the Rfam family "Bacterial small subunit ribosomal RNA", at positions 1006 to 1505 of the family's 1533-position model. Lineage: Bacteria; Candidatus Saccharimonadota. The record is from RNAcentral.
AGGAGAGAGUGCCGUAAGGAACCCGAUGACAGGUGUUGCAUGGCCGUUGUCAGCUCGUGUCGUGAGAUGUUUGGUUAAGUCCAUCAACGAGCGCAACCCUUAUAGUUAGUUGAAUUCUCUAGCUAGACUGCCCUGGUAACAGGGAGGAAGGAGGGGAUGACUUCAGGUCGGUAUUGCCCUUACGUCUGGGGCUACAAACACGCUACAAUGGCCGGUACAAUGGGCUGCCAAGUCGCGAGACGGAGCAAAUCCCAACAAAGCCGGUCUCAGUUCAGAUUGCAGGCUGAAACUCGCCUGCAUGAAGCCGGAAUCGCUAGUAAUGGUAGGUCAGCACACUACCGUGAAUACGUUCCCGGGUCUUGUACACACCGCCCGUCAAACCAUGAAAGUGGGGGGUACCUGACGUACUAGCUUGCCUAGCCCUAAGGUAAACCACAUGAUUGGGGUUAAGUCGUAACAAGGUAACCGUAA